Molecule: ribosomal RNA, 253 nt
Filed under: uncultured bacterium
Lineage: Bacteria
Description: partial 16S ribosomal RNA
Rfam family: Bacterial small subunit ribosomal RNA
Source: RNAcentral
UACGUAGGGUGCAAGCGUUAAUCGGAAUUACUGGGCGUAAAGCGUGCGCAGGCGGCUUUGCAAGACAGAUGUGAAAUCCCCGGGCUCAACCUGGGAACUGCAUUUGUGACUGCAUAGCUGGAGUGCGGCAGAGGGGGAUGGAAUUCCGCGUGUAGCAGUGAAAUGCGUAGAGAUCCGGAGGAAUACCAGUGGCGCAGGCGGCGCUCUGGGUCACACCUGACACUGAGAUACGAAGGCAUGGGGAGCGAACGGG